This 680-nucleotide ribosomal RNA is filed under the name uncultured bacterium. RNAcentral describes it as "bacterial SSU rRNA". It matches the Rfam family "Bacterial small subunit ribosomal RNA", at positions 54 to 749 of the family's 1533-position model. The record is from RNAcentral.
CAUGCAAGUCGAACGAUGAAGCCCUUCGGGGUGGAUUAGUGGCGAACGGGUGAGUAACACGUGGGCAAUCUGCCCUCCACUUCGGGACAAGCCCUGGAAACGGGGUCUAAUACCGGAUAGCACUUCCACUCUCCUGGGUGGGGGUUGAAAGCUCCGGCGGUGGAGGAUGGGCCCGCGGCCUAUCAGCUGGUUGGUGAGGUAACGGCUCACCAAGGCGACGACGGGUAGCCGGCCUGAGAGGGCGACCGGCCACACUGGGACUGAGACACGGCCCAGACUCCUACGGGAGGCAGCAGUGGGGAAUAUUGCACAAUGGGCGCAAGCCUGAUGCAGCGACGCCGCGUGGGGGAUGACGGCCUUCGGGUUGUAAACCUCUUUCAGCAGGGAAGAAGCCUCACGGUGACGGUACCUGCAGAAGAAGCGCCGGCUAACUACGUGCCAGCAGCCGCGGUAAUACGUAGGGUGCAGGCGUUAAUCGGAAUUACUGGGCGUAAAGCGUGCGCAGGCGGUUUGCUAAGACAGGUGUGAAAUCCCCGGGCUUAACCUGGGAACUGCGCUUGUAACUGGCAAGCUAGAGUGUGGCAGAGGGGGGUGGAAUUCCACGUGUAGCAGUGAAAUGCGUAGAUAUGUGGAGGAACACCAGUGGCGAANGCGACUUUCUGGCCUAUAACUGACGCUGA